AGUGAACGCUGGCGGUAGGCCUAACACAUGCAAGUCGAACGGCAGCACAGUAAGAGCUUGCUCUUACGGGUGGCGAGUGGCGGACGGGUGAGGAAUACAUCGGAAUCUACUUUUUCGUGGGGGAUAACGUAGGGAAACUUACGCUAAUACCGCAUACGACCUACGGGUGAAAGCAGGGGAUCUUCGGACCUUGCGCGAUUGAAUGAGCCGAUGUCGGAUUAGCUAGUUGGCGGGGUAAAGGCCCACCAAGGCGACGAUCCGUAGCUGGUCUGAGAGGAUGAUCAGCCACACUGGAACUGAGACACGGUCCAGACUCCUACGGGAGGCAGCAGUGGGGAAUAUUGGACAAGGGGCGCAGGCCUGAUCCAGCCAUCCCGGGUGGGUGAAGAAGGCCUUCGGGUUGUAAGGCCCUUUUGUGGGAAAAAAAAAGCAGCAGGUUAAUCCCCCGCUGUUCUGACGGUACCCAAAAAAAAAGCACCGGCUAACUUCGUG
This 492-nucleotide ribosomal RNA is filed under the name uncultured bacterium. RNAcentral's name for it is "partial 16S ribosomal RNA". It matches the Rfam family "Bacterial small subunit ribosomal RNA", at positions 29 to 507 of the family's 1533-position model. The record is from RNAcentral.